UGGGGAAUUUUGGACAAUGGGCGAAAGCCUGAUCCAGCAAUGCCGCGUGUGUGAAGAAGGCCUUCGGGUUGUAAAGCACUUUUGUCCGGAAAGAAAUCCUUGGCUCUAAUACAGUCGGGGGAUGACGGUACCGGAAGAAUAAGCACCGGCUAACUACGUGCCAGCAGCCGCGGUAAUACGUAGGGUGCAAGCGUUAAUCGGAAUUACUGGGCGUAAAGCGUGCGCAGGCGGUUUGCUAAGACCGAUGUGAAAUCCCCGGGCUCAACCUGGGAACUGCAUUGGUGACUGGCAGGCUAGAGUAUGGCAGAGGGGGGUUAGAAUUCCACGUGUAGCAGUGAAAUGCGUAGAGAUGUGGAGGAAUACCGAUGGCGAAGGCAGCCCCCUGGGCCAAUACUGACGCUCAUGCACGAAAGCGUGGGGAGCAAAACAGGAUUAGAUACCCCUGGUUAGUCCACGCCCUAAAACGAUGUCAACUAGUUGUUGGGGGAUUCAUUUCCUUAGUAACGUAGCUAACGCGUGAAGUUGACCGCCUGGGGAGUACGGUCGCAAGAUUAAAACUCAAAUGAAUUGACGGGGUCAUAGCUGUUU
This 588-nucleotide ribosomal RNA is filed under the name uncultured bacterium. Its description in RNAcentral is "partial 16S ribosomal RNA". It matches the Rfam family "Bacterial small subunit ribosomal RNA", at positions 355 to 935 of the family's 1533-position model. The record is from RNAcentral.